This 699-nucleotide ribosomal RNA is filed under the name bacterium Y11. RNAcentral describes it as "bacterial SSU rRNA". It matches the Rfam family "Bacterial small subunit ribosomal RNA", at positions 60 to 753 of the family's 1533-position model. The record is from RNAcentral.
AGUCGAGCGGAGAUGAGGUGCUUGCACCUUAUCUUAGCGGCGGACGGGUGAGUAAUGCUUAGGAAUCUGCCUAUUAGUGGGGGACAACAUUCCGAAAGGAAUGCUAAUACCGCAUACGUCCUACGGGAGAAAGCAGGGGAUCUUCGGACCUUGCGCUAAUAGAUGAGCCUAAGUCGGAUUAGCUAGUUGGUGGGGUAAAGGCCUACCAAGGCGACGAUCUGUAGCGGGUCUGAGAGGAUGAUCCGCCACACUGGGACUGAGACACGGCCCAGACUCCUACGGGAGGCAGCAGUGGGGAAUAUUGGACAAUGGGGGGAACCCUGAUCCAGCCAUGCCGCGUGUGUGAAGAAGGCCUUAUGGUUGUAAAGCACUUUAAGCGAGGAGGAGGCUACUGAGACUAAUACUCUUGGAUAGUGGACGUUACUCGCAGAAUAAGCACCGGCUAACUCUGUGCCAGCAGCCGCGGUAAUACAGAGGGUGCGAGCGUUAAUCGGAUUUACUGGGCGUAAAGCGUGCGUAGGCGGCUUUUUAAGUCGGAUGUGAAAUCCCCGAGCUUAACUUGGGAAUUGCAUUCGAUACUGGGAAGCUAGAGUAUGGGAGAGGAUGGUAGAAUUCCAGGUGUAGCGGUGAAAUGCGUAGAGAUCUGGAGGAAUACCGAUGGCGAAGGCAGCCAUCUGGCCUAAUACUGACGCUGAGGUA